GGUAUAUACAAUCCUGGACGGCUGACACCGACAAUGAUCAAGUACUUCAUUUUGGCAUCGUGUCUAAUUGCUCUUUCUUUACAGGCUAUAGGCCCGAUUGACCCUAACUGGCCCAGUCGAACCUCCUGUUCCAGUGGAUAUGAUUGUCCAGUUGGACACUGCUGUGUGACCUCCUACGAAAAAAGGGGAUAUUUGCCACCUUCGGAGAUUAACUCUGGUAGAACCGGCCACUGUUUGCCCUGUUUGGGAUAGGAUUUUGCUAGAAAAAAUUGUGACGCAGUAGUUCGGGAAAUAAAACAGAAAUAUAUCUUGGUUUUUUCAGAUGGG
Liolophura sinensis is the source of this 327-nucleotide long non-coding RNA. RefSeq lists it as uncharacterized. The record is from RefSeq and is a predicted model, not a curated record. NCBI's taxonomy places the organism in Eukaryota, Metazoa, Mollusca, Polyplacophora, Chitonida, Chitonidae. The transcript has 3 exons.